RNAcentral lists this non-coding RNA (213 nucleotides) under Clostridiales bacterium. RNAcentral's name for it is "T-box sequence". It matches the Rfam family "T-box leader". From Rfam's summary of the family: Uncharged tRNA acts as the effector for transcription antitermination of genes in the T-box leader family. T-boxes are found upstream of many aminoacyl-tRNA synthetase genes and some amino acid biosynthetic genes usually in Gram-positive bacteria. The record is from RNAcentral. Lineage: Bacteria; Bacillati; Bacillota; Clostridia; Eubacteriales.
UAGGAAACUGUGAUGAAGAAAGUAGAUAUAAGAUUUUUUUCAGGGAGAAAAGGUCGCUGACUGAAAGCCUUUUUAUUAAUUUUUAUGUUGAAGUUCACUUCGGAGUUUUGACGGUGAAACUAAGUAGUCGUCAGUGGGUAAAACCAUUAAAUUUAUCUAAGAGGACAUUUUAUGUCAAUUAGGGUGGUACCGCGGAAUACAUCCGUCCCUUUU